UUAGAUGGCGACUCUGCAUUAAACGUAUUUAUUUAAUUAAUCGGCGAUCCUAUUUCACCAGAGGACUAAGAUAAAACAACUCGAUUUAAAAUAUGAGCAGUUUUAGUGGAUCUGACGUUGAGGGAAAAAGUAUUUCGCUUUUUGUUUGGAGAUGAACGAGACAACACGAGGGUAAGUGAUGACAGAUUUUCACAUUUCUUUAUUUAGUUAACUAUUAAAUAAGUAAAACAUUACAUUACAUUUAACCCAGCUUCUUUAUGUAACGUUAUGUCUGUGUUGCGUGUGGUAAUUGGAACAUCUUUAUUUUCUGACUAACGUUAGGCAUUUCUCUUAAGCAUUUCAGAAAUCAUUAAAACCUUUCAUUUUUUUUAGCACAGCGAUAUAAAUAUGACCAACCAGAUCCCAAGUAGACAGGAACAAAUGAAGAUAUAGCGCAUAGAAAGACUUAUUCUUGGUGAUCAACUGCUAUUGACAUUUUUGAAUCGGGGCAAAUGUGGAGUGAAGAAAAACGUUUGCAACACAUCCAUCCCAGAGUGCUCUGACAGAUAAAACUGACACGCUUGAUGAGGACACAGUCAAGCUUUAAAAGACCGUGUGAUAAAGCAGUCUUCAAUUACUACGGUGUCUGAAUUGCAAGAAGAAGUGACCCUCCACUUAAACAUGUGACAUCUAAACUGUUUUGUGUUUUAGUUCAGCUUUUUAUAGGUUUAUCUUAAGUUGGUUAAAGGCAGAGUGCACUAUUUUUGAAAGCCAAUGUUAACAUUUGAAAUUACCUAAACAAACAUGCCUCUACCCCAAUAGAAUCUGGACCUUCUUUUGAUAGAGCCACCACACACAUACGCAACCCCGGCAAGGAUGUCAGUUAGUAGACACGCCCCUUACUGCUGGUUGGCUACAAGUGUGUUUUGGUAGUCGGCCCAAUUUCCUUUUCCAAAGCGUUUUUCAAACAUUGUGCACUCCGUCUUUAAAUUGCACUUAAAAACAUUUUUUUUCAUU
Long non-coding RNA from Paramisgurnus dabryanus, 996 nucleotides. RefSeq lists it as uncharacterized. The record is from RefSeq and is a predicted model, not a curated record. NCBI's taxonomy places the organism in Eukaryota, Metazoa, Chordata, Actinopteri, Cypriniformes, Cobitidae.